UAUUCUCGCUGUUCAAUUUCUCCGCCAUCCCAACUGGCUCCAAUUCUUCUUUCCUCUUUGCUCAUCUUCGCUGAUUUAUACGUCAAAUUAGAUAUAUCAGAUUGAGCCUGACAAAGACAAAGCUCAAAAAGGAGAUGGCAUAGCUAAUUUUCCUUUUAUUCAAACUCUCAUUCAGCUGCUAAGGCGCUUUAUUGAUCAUGUGCUGUCAGUAAUCAAAUUAUUUAGAAAUGUCAGAAAGUGAAAUUGUACCAACACUGGACGAGCAGUGAUUUGUUGGAAACUCGAAUCACGGAAUUUAAAAAUAAAAUCUACAGAAAUUACAAAAAAGAAUCAGGAUGGGCGGUGACACAAGUCUACAGGAGAACAUCGUAGCCGCGGCAUGUGUUAUUCUGGUCGUAGUUUUCAUCGUUUUUCUCUUAAUUGUGGCUCGGGCCAUAAUUGUUAAGUGGCCCAGACUGUCCCAGGAGGAAUUUUUAGAGGUGGAGCCCAUAAACCAACAAAUGGACGUGUGGUCAGUACAGCAGUCGGAACCCUGUGAUCCGGCAAGCCCAGAAACUGAGGAAUUUAUCAAAUGAGGGACUGCUUAGUGAUAAUGUAUCUGUUUCUUUAAAAUCAAAAUAUUGAAUUUUCUUAAUAGUUGACAUACUGUCAAUAAAAAUCGAAUGUAA
Long non-coding RNA from Saccostrea echinata, 668 nucleotides. RefSeq lists it as uncharacterized. The transcript is spliced from 2 exons. Lineage: Eukaryota; Metazoa; Mollusca; Bivalvia; Ostreida; Ostreidae. The record is from RefSeq and is a predicted model, not a curated record.